RNAcentral lists this ribosomal RNA (47 nucleotides) under uncultured fungus. Its description in RNAcentral is "partial 28S large subunit ribosomal RNA". The record is from RNAcentral. Lineage: Eukaryota; Fungi.
GACCUCAAAUCGGGUGAGACUACCCGCUGAACUUAAGCAUAUCAAUA